Non-coding RNA from Microcebus murinus (gray mouse lemur), 1744 nucleotides. NCBI's taxonomy places the organism in Eukaryota, Metazoa, Chordata, Mammalia, Primates, Cheirogaleidae. The record is from RefSeq and is a predicted model, not a curated record.
CAGGGCCCGUCGUGGGGCCCCACCCACCACGAGGGAGCCGGGGAAUGUAACCCCACCGCGUGCUCGGGAGACGGGAGAGCCUGAGGUGAUCGAGAACUGAACUCAAAGAGGAAUUUAUGACAAGUAACAUUGGACAUUCUACUCAAUAAUGUUUACAAAAAUUUUGUCAAAGAUCCCAAGAUAACAACGUCUGUGCUAAAUAAGAUAAUAAAGGUCGCCUGGACUUUUUGCAAUGUGUUAGGCAUUAUGCCAGAUCCGUCACAUGAAUUAUUUUCUCCAAUGCUCACAAUAAAUGCUCUGAAGAAUUUUGGAUACUAAUGUGGCCCAUCCUGGAUCAUGAGGUCAAAUCUAUACAGAGAGGAAGAAGACAGAAAGAACCUUGUCUCUGCACCAACCAUGAUGCACCAUAUUACCUCUGGAUUUCUGAUAAUGGAUUUUGACUUGGGAGGAAUUAUGUAUUUGUACAAUAAAACAUGAAUGCUCCACUGAAGAAGAAAUGGAAUCUGACUGAGAGGCAACCCACAAGGAGGCAUAAAAACUUCCUCCUUCACAAGGCUACUCCAUACUGGCUAAAGGGUUAUUCAACCAAUCAUAUUCUCUCUUUCGGAAUCUGAAUGUGAGACACACAGAGAGAGACUGGCAUCACUAUUCGUUCAAGCCCAAAGCUAAGAGUCCUGUUCUCCCUCUCCUUUUUACCUCAUUCUUCAUAGGUAAGAAAUCACCAAGUUCUCUAAUAUUCCUUCUUUAAUUUUUUGAAUAUAAGCUCUUCACUCUAUUCCACUGAAUUACUUUAAUCUGAUCCAUCUUUCUCAUAUAGGUAACAUGCAGGUCUUUCCCACCUAUUAUAGGAUCAUCCUCAAUGCAUUCUCGACUGUGCCUCCAUCCUGGGUGACUAUUUAAAUAAAUUAUGAUAUACCUAUGAAAUCUAAUAUCAAGUAGCCUUUACAAAGAAUGAGACAGAUUUGUAUGUGCCAGGUAGAAAGUUUUCUAGGAUAAUAUUUUAUUUAAUAAAAAAUGAGACAAGAAUGUGAUGAUGACGGAUGCUGUCUCUUUGCUGCAUCUACUGCGAGAAUGGAGACCAUUCUCAGCAAUCAGACUGUCGAUAUUCCAGAAAAUGUUGACAUCACUCUUAAGGGACCCACAGUUAUCGUGAAGAGUCCCAGAGGAACCCUGCAGAGGGACUUCAAUCACAUCAAUGUAGAACUUAGUCUCCUUGGAAAGAAAAAGAAGAGGCUCUGGGUUGACAAAUGGUGGGGAAAUAGAAAGGAACUGGCUACAGUUUGCACUAUUUGUAGUCAUGUACAGAACGUGAUCAAGGGUGUUACACUGGGCUUCCAUUACAAGACGAGGUCUGUGUAUGCUCACUUCCUCAUCAAUGUCUUUAUCCCGGAGUAUGGGUCUUUUGUUGAAAUACGAAAUUUCUUAGGUGAAAAAUACAUCCACAGGGUUUGGAUGAGGCCAGGUGUUGCCUGUUCAGUAUCUCAAGCACAGAAAGAUGAGUUAUUCCUCAAAGGAAAUGACAUUGAACUUGUUUCAAAUUCAGCUGCUUUGAUUCAGCAAGCCACAACAGUUAAAAACAAGGAUAUCAGAAAAUUUUUGGAUGGUAUCUAUGUCUCUGAAAAAGGAAUCAGUUCAGCAGGCUGAUGAAUAAGAUCUAAGAGUUGUCCAGCCACAUGAAGACACUGCAUGAUUACUAAGAUGUAUUUGUAAUUUUGAUGAUGCAAUAAAAGAGCUGUUGGUUUGG